RNAcentral lists this ribosomal RNA (461 nucleotides) under uncultured bacterium. Its description in RNAcentral is "partial 16S ribosomal RNA". It matches the Rfam family "Bacterial small subunit ribosomal RNA", at positions 338 to 795 of the family's 1533-position model. The record is from RNAcentral.
CCUACGGGAGGCUGCAGUGAGGAAUAUUGGUCAAUGGGCGCGAGCCUGAACCAGCCAAGUCGCGUGAGGGAAUACGGUCCUAUGGAUUGUAAACCUCUUUUGUCGGGGAGCAAAAUACGCCACGCGUGGCGUUCCGAGAGUACCCGAAGAAAAAGCAUCGGCUGACUCCGUGCCAGCAGCCGCAGUAAUACGUAGGGAGCAAGCGUGGUUCGGAAUGACUGGGCGGAAAGGUUGCGUAGGCGGUUAUACAAGUUAGAAGUGAAAUACCACGGGCUUAACUCGGGUGCUGCUUCUAAAACUGUAAGACUUGAGUGCAGUAGAGGUUAGUGGAAUUCCUAGUGUAGCGGUGGAAUGCGUAGAUAUUAGGAGGAACACCAGAGGCGAAGGCGGCUAACUGGACUGCAACUGACGCUGAGGCACGAAAGUGUGGGGAGCAAACAGGAUUAGAUACCCCUGUAGUC